RNAcentral lists this ribosomal RNA (403 nucleotides) under uncultured bacterium. Its description in RNAcentral is "partial 16S ribosomal RNA". It matches the Rfam family "Bacterial small subunit ribosomal RNA", at positions 30 to 526 of the family's 1533-position model. The record is from RNAcentral.
AUUGAACGCUGGCGGCAGGCCUAACACAUGCAAGUCGAGCGAGCGGCGGCCGGGUGAGUAAUGUAUGGGGACUGCCCGAUAGAGGGGGAUAACUACUUGAAACGGUGGCUAAUACCGCAUACUAUCGGAUAACCCAUAUGGGAUUAGCUAGUAGGUGGGGUAAAGGCUCACCUAGGCGACGAUCUCUAGCUGGUCUGAGAGGAGGAUUGCCUACAUUGGGACGGAGACACGGCCCGUACUCCUACGGAGGAAGCAGUGGGGAAUAGUGCAGAAUGGGCGCAAGCUUGAUGCAGCCAUGCCGCGUGUAUGAAGAAGGCCGUAGGGUUGUAAAGUACUUUCAGCGGGGAGGCGUUACCCGCAGAAGAAGCAACGGCUAACUCCGUGCCAGCAGCCGCGGUAAUAC